This 5001-nucleotide long non-coding RNA is filed under the name Homo sapiens (human). Its description in RNAcentral is "HSALNT0264448". Lineage: Eukaryota; Metazoa; Chordata; Mammalia; Primates; Hominidae. The record is from RNAcentral.
CAAUUUACAAAGUAAAAAGGUUUAAUUGGACUCACAGUUCCACGUGGCUGGGGAGGUCUCACAAUCACGGUGGAAGGCAAGGAGGAACAAGUCACGUCUUACAUGGAUGGCAGCAGGCAAAAAAAGAGCUUGUGAAGAGAACUCCCAUUUUCAAAACCAUCAAAUCUCAUGAGAUGCAUUCACCACCACAAGAACAGCACAGAAAAAGACCAGCCCCAAUGAUUCAAUCAUCUCCCACUGGGUCCCUCCCACAACACAUGGGAAGCAGGGGAGCUACAAGAUGAGAUUUGGGUGGGGACACAGAGCCAAGUCAUAUCAUUCUGCCUCUGGCUCCUCCCAAAUCUCAUGUUUUCACAUUUCAAAACCAAUCAUGCUUUCCCAAUAGUCCCCCAAAGUCUUAACUCAUUACAGCAUUAACUCAAAAGUCCACAGUCCAAAGUCUCAUCUGAGAUAAGGUAAUUCCCUUCCACCUAUGAGCCUGUAAAAUCGAAAGCAAGUUAGUUACUUCCUAGAUACAAUGGGGGUACAGGCAUUGGGUAAAUACAGCCAUUCCAAAUGGGAGAAAUUGGCCAAAACAGAGGGCCACAGGCCCCAUGCAAGUCCAAAAUCCAGCAGUCAAAUCUUGGAGCUCCAAAUGAUCUCCUUUGAUUCCAUGUCUCACAUCUAGGUCACGCUAAUGCAAGAGAUGGGUUCCCAUGGUCUUGUGCAGUUCUGCCCCUGUGGCAUUGCAGGGUACAGCCUCCCUCCCAGCUGCUUUCACAGGCUGGCAUUGAGUGUUGAUGGCUGUUCCAGGUGCACGGUGCAAGCUGCCGAUGGAUCUACCAUUCUGGGGUCUGGGUUUGGAGGACGGUAGCCCUCUUCUCACAGCUCCACUAGGUGGUGCCCAUUAGGGACUCUGUGUGGUGGCUCUGAUCCCACAUUUCCCUUCCUCAUUGCCUUACCAGAAGUUCCCCAUGAGGGCUCUGCCCCUGCAGCAAACUUCUGCCUGGGCAUCCAGGCGUUUCCAUGCAUCAUCCAAAAUCUAGGCAGAGGUAACCAAACCUCAGUUCUUGACUUUUGUGCACCCGAAGGCUCAACACCAUGUGGAACCUACCAAGACUUGGGGCUUGCACCCUCUGAAGCAAUAGCCCAAGCUGUACUUUGGCCCCUUUUAUUCAUGACUAGAGUGGCUAGGAUUCAGGGCACCAAGUCUCUAGUCUGCACACAGUGGAGGGACCAUGGGCCUGACCCAAUAUUUAAGACGUUUAUUCCUCCUAAACCUCCUGGCCUGUGAAGGGAGGGGUUGUCACAAAGGUCUCUGACACACGCUGGAGACAUUUUCCCUAUUGUCUUGGUGAUUAACAUUCAGCUCCUCAUUACUUUUGCAAAUUUCUGCAGCUGGCUUGAAUUUCUCCUCAGAAAAUGGAAUUUUCUCUUCUAUCUCAUUGUCAGGCUGCAAAUUUUCCAAACUUUUAUGCUCUGUUUUCCUUUAAAACUGAAUGACUUUAACAGCACCCAAGUCACCUCUUGAAAGCUUUGCUGCUUUGAAAUUUCUUCCACCAGGUACUGUAAAUCAUCUCUCUCAAGUUCGAAGUUCCACAAAUCUCUAGGGCAGAGGCAAAAUGCAACCAGUAUCUGCUAAAACAUAACAAGUUCCUCAUUUCCCAACAAGUUCCUCAUUUCCAUCUGAGGCCACCUCAGCCUGGACUUUAUUGUCCAUAUUACUAUUAGCAUUUUGGGCAAAGCCAUUCAAGAAGUUUCUAGGCAGUUCCAAACUUCUCACAUUUUUCUGUCUUCUUGUGAGCCCCCCAAACUGUUCUAAUCCCUGCCUGUUACCAAGUUCCAGAGUCGUUUCCACAUUUUCAGGUAUCUACAGUAGUGCCCCACUCUACUGGUAACAAUUUACUAUAUUAGUCCAUUUUCAUGCUGCUGAUAAAGGCAUACCCAAGGCUGAGCAGUUUACAAAAGAAAGAGGUUUAAUUGGACUCACAGUUCCAUGUGGCUGAGGAGGCCUCACAAUCAUGGCAGAAGGUAAGGAGGAACAAGUCAUGUCUUACACGGAUGGCAGCAGGCAAAAAAAGAGCUUGUGUGGGGAAACUCCCAUUUUCAAAACCAUGAGAUCUCAUGAGACCCAUUUACCACUGUAAGAACAGCACAGAAAAAUACCCACCCCUAUGAUUCAAUCAUCUCCCACUCAGCCACUCCCACAACACAUGGGAAUCAUGGGAGCUACACGAUGAGAUUUGGGUGGGGACACAAAGGCAAAGAUUUCACAUAUGCAAGAUUUCAUCCUUGAGAACACUAUAUGCAUACAGAAAACUGCACUCAGUCGAAAUGAACUAUGUAACUGUCCACAAAAUGCACACAAGCAGACACCUCAAAUAUCUACUGGCUACUUCAGCUCACUAGGAGCCACAACUAUACAUAUCCAGUGUUACAACUUUCUGAUUUCAAGUAAGCCUCUCUCCACCCUUCACAGUCACUCACAAGAGCAACCUUUCUAACAUCCCCAUCCACAGGCAAGCUUCAGGUCUUUUUUAAAGCAGGACACCAUAAUUAUUGUAAUAUUUAAGUGACAUAAGUCUGUAUUUCUAGACCUUUGGGACCCAUUUGACAUCUCACCCUGCAAAGGCUUCCAAAAUAGCCUAAUUCUGAGAGUGCUUUUCUGAGCUUCAGCGGAAGCAUGGGAGAACACUGCCCACCUUCCCGCAUUUUUGUCUCCUGCAUCUUUCAGUUAUUCACUCUUUAGGAAUGUGCCAAGGUGAAAUCCAUGUUGAAUUCAAUAUAAGCCUUCAGUCUCACCCAUUUUUGAAACAGAAGCAGUCUCUGAAGAAUGGUCUAGCACAAUUUUCAAAUUGUUUAGAUGUGAUUCUUUGUAAAAUGAAGGAAGAAGGAAACAUGAACUCUAAAAUUUUCCAAUUUGGGGUCACAACUGGUCCCACUCUAGUCACUUGGGAUUUAGUAUUCAUAUUCAAAAUGCUGAGACUUAAAGUUUUUUUUUUUUUUUGAACAUUUCAUUAGCACUGGAGUCACACCCCAGUGUACUCCAUAAGGUAACAAAAGAAAAUAAAAGCAAAAAUCUUUAUCCCGUGUUAUUGUUUAGUGAGUCAGUCACACACAACAAAGGCAGUAAAUCUCCACAGCUAAAAGGAGCUUAAUGGUUGAAACAUCCUCAGGGGAUAUGAGAAGCAGCAAAAUAAUAAUUGCAAAGAAUAACACAUGAUGCCUGCGAUUACUAAUGUUUAGUUUCUGAAGAUCGCUAUAGUAUAAUAUUUGAAAGUGAAUUACUGUAUUAAUCCUCACUAGAAGCUCCAAAGAGGAGUAUUUUCAGUUUUAAUACAGACUUACACCAUGACUAAAGGUUCUUUUAAUCUUUGUUCCCUAUCUCUGUCUUUCCGUAAAAUGGUCCAUCUAAAUUUUCUUACCUUCCUAAAGUGGAAUGAGGAUUAUCUAUUAAAUAGUUUCAAAGCCCCUGGGAAAUGUGAAUUGUGGCGCUAUGACUGCAUGACAGUAGAUGGAGCCGCGAAGACAUGAGGAAUUGGCUGAUUCCCUGUGCCUUGAAGAUAGGAACGUUUAUGAGUCCCAGGGGACAGGGACAGCCCCCGGAUGUGAGUAGUUUCCAGAGAAACAAGUUGAUCUGAAGUUUUUCCUGGAGAGUUGGAAAAUCUGCCACAUGUCAUCCAGCGCUUAUUUCUUUGGUGGGUUUUACACUUGGGUGUCAUUCAGCAGUUUUAUGAGAGCAAGACAAUGGAUAGAGAAGCCAUAAAAAAAAUUCUUCUAGUUCUUUAAGGUAUGAGUCAUCUUUACCAUUGAAACCUUUGGUCACAGCCUGAAUAGAAGAGGCAACAUGCACUGCUUUUUUUUUUUUUUUUUUUUUUUUUGGUAGGGGUGGAGGGAGAAGAGUUUUCAAAUGUGUUGCUUCCAUUCAGGAGGGAAAGAUUAUUUAGGGAUCUAUUGAUUUUUCAUAUGUGGUUUGAUUGCAUUUUCCCUCACUUGAGUUUCUGGAUGUGCUCAUAGAUUGAACCUCAGUUAUGUGGGAACUUUCAGUGUCAGUUUCUAAGAGUAAGAGGCACGGCAGCAUUAAUUUGACCUUCUCCAUGAUAAGGGAUCCAUUUUAGAAACAGUAAUAAUAGCUCACACUUGUUGAACACUUAUUUGUUGUCAGGACCUGAUAUAAAUGUUUCAUAUGUCUUUACUUAUUUAAUGUGCAUAGCAGCUACAAUGCAGUAGUUGUGGUAGAUUGUGCAAAAGUGGCUGCAAUUCUCCAACCUUCCCUGUAUCUGCAUCCCUUUGCAAUGUAACUGCAACUCCUUGCAUCAAGAGAUGAAGUCAAUAUCCUCACCUUCUAAAUCUGGGCUAACUCCCUCGUGGCUCUGUGAUUAGAGGUGCUGGCUGACCUUGGGUGGCCCCAGAUGGAUGGCUCCUCUGGCUUCCUCCACAUGGUCUCUUAUCCUUCAGCUAACUAGCCCAGGCUUGCUCACCUGGCUGAUGGACAGGGUCUAAGAGAAGAAAGACAAGGGCAAGGCCUUUUUGAGGUCUAGGUUCGGAAAUGCCACAACAAUACUUCUCCUACAUGCUGUCAGACAAAGAAAGUCAUAGUGGCCAACCCAGAUUUGAGGGGUAAACAAUAAUCUACCUAUUGAUGGGAGUUGCCACAAAGUCACACUACAAAGGGCCUGAAUACAGGAAGAGCCAUUUUCCCCCAUGGGUUUCAAAUGACCAUGAGAAUCCACAUUGCCAUCAUCUAGAACAGUAAAAAGUGAACUAAUGAUUAAUACAUUCAAACAUCAGCUCUUCAUUAAGUUGCUUCUGAAGUGGAUACUGCACAAUCUUGUAAAUGAUUAUUCAUGGUCUUUUCACAUAAGUCACCCAAUAGUUUGACAUUGUCUUUCAAUUUUCUCCUUUAUAUCAUUAGUUCCUUUACUUUUAAGGCAGACUUGGACAAAAUUCAUUGUUUAUUAUAUAAUAAGUAUAGUGAGUAUACCACUCCAAAGAGGACUGGACAAAGCAAGAAGACAAAAA